ACGCUCGACACCUACGGUAGGCAGCAGUGGGGAAUAUUGCACAAUGGGGGAAACCCUGAUGCAGCGACGCCGCGUGGAGGAAGAAGGUCUUCGGAUUGUAAACUCCUGUUGUUGGGGAAAAAGAGGAUGGUACCCAACAAGGAAGUGACGGCUAACUACGUGCCAGCAGCGCGGUAAUCUGAGCGGGCUGGCAAGGC
This 197-nucleotide ribosomal RNA is filed under the name uncultured bacterium. Its description in RNAcentral is "partial 16S ribosomal RNA". It matches the Rfam family "Bacterial small subunit ribosomal RNA", at positions 326 to 539 of the family's 1533-position model. The record is from RNAcentral.